Molecule: long non-coding RNA, 789 nt
Filed under: Gouania willdenowi (blunt-snouted clingfish)
Lineage: Eukaryota; Metazoa; Chordata; Actinopteri; Blenniiformes; Gobiesocidae
Description: lncRNA (ENSGWIG00000020293.1)
Source: RNAcentral
GAAUGGAGAAAGAGUCACAUGUGUCCGGCUUUGCUGUGUCUUCCCUACACUUACAGGUUAGUUUCUCACCUUUUAUGUGAGUACAGGUGUUUAAAACAUGAUAGGGUGCUCCAGUGAUAAGUUGCCUGUUAGCUAAAAUGUGUAAAUGUGUGUAGAAUUGUAAGUUUCAUGCUACGUGACGAGGAGAGUCAGCAAAAAGGCGGUCGACACCGUAUUUCGGGGAUGUCUCUCACCUUCCUCAGAAGCAUCUCACUGACAGCGUGUGAGCCGGCACGUGUGGCACGCCCAGCGGAGCUUUCAGAUUCACCGGGCCCAACGGAUCCGACUGCCCCGCUACGCGCGCCGCGACCCCCGCUGACUACUUUUUCACCGAAACUGUAAAGCUAAAAAAGAAAAGAUCAAACAAUGACAGGCGUCAUGGUGAUGAACACAUGAUGUAACCACAGAGAGAAGCUGUGACUGAGAACAUCCUCUACAUGAUGAUCACUGACAUGAGGUCUGUGUCCAUGGUUGAAGAUGAAGCUUCACUACAAUCAUCCUCACCUUUAAUCCAGGUCACAUUCUGCCCUCAACGACACAAUUUAUGUUUUACAUUUUACAAAGCUCAUGGAGAGAAAAUAUGAAGAGACUUUAAAGGAAGUGAAGAAUGCAAUGAACACAAACAGCAAACUGUGUCUCACUGCUGAUAUAUGGACACGUGUAGCUAAUGAAGUCUACCUUUGGGUGACCUACCACUACAUUCACAAUGGGACGAAUAAACAGGCUGAAAUUAAAAAUGUGGUGUUUUUU